GAUUAUGGCUCAGAACGAACGCUGGCGGCGCGUUUAAGCAUGCAAGUCGAGCGGCAAGGGCCUUCGGGCCCCUAGAGCGGCGGACGGGUGAGUAACACGUGGACAAUCUGCCCCCCGGCCCGGGAUAGCCCAGGGAAACCUGGAUUAAUACCGGAUGAGAUGGGACCCGCGAUGGCGGGAUCCGGGAAAGGCGCUGCGGCGCCGCCGGGGGAUGAGUCUGCGUCCCAUUAGCUAGACGGCGGGGUAACGGCCCACCGUGGCGACGAUGGGUAGCCGGCCUGAGAGGGUGGACGGCCACAUUGGAACUGAGACACGGUCCAGACUCCUACGGGAGGCAGCAGCUAAGAAUCUUCCGCAAUGGGCGAAAGCCUGACGGAGCCGACGCCGCGUGAACGAAGAAGGCCGUGAGGUUGUAAAGUUCUUUUCGGGAGGGGGAACAACCGUGGCAGGGAAUGGCCGCGGGAUGACGUGAAUCCCGGAAUAAGCCCCGGCUAACUACGUGCCAGCCGCCGC
This 513-nucleotide ribosomal RNA is filed under the name uncultured bacterium. RNAcentral describes it as "bacterial SSU rRNA". It matches the Rfam family "Bacterial small subunit ribosomal RNA", at positions 15 to 518 of the family's 1533-position model. The record is from RNAcentral.